GAAAUGUUAGCUCAAAGGAAGAGUACUGACCCUCCAAGUCAGAGGUUGCGGGUUCGAAUCCUGUACAUUUCA
RNAcentral lists this transfer RNA (72 nucleotides) under Chryseobacterium taiwanense. RNAcentral describes it as "tRNA-Gly". It matches the Rfam family "tRNA". Rfam says of the family: Transfer RNA (tRNA) molecules are approximately 80 nucleotides in length. Their secondary structure includes four short double-helical elements and three loops (D, anti-codon, and T loops). Further hydrogen bonds mediate the characteristic L-shaped molecular structure. tRNAs have two regions of fundamental functional importance: the anti-codon, which is responsible for specific mRNA codon recognition, and the 3' end, to which the tRNAs corresponding amino acid is attached (by aminoacyl-tRNA synthetases). tRNAs cope with the degeneracy of the genetic code in two manners: having more than one tRNA (with a specific anti-codon) for a particular amino acid; and 'wobble' base-pairing, i.e. permitting non-standard base-pairing at the 3rd anti-codon position. Lineage: Bacteria; Pseudomonadati; Bacteroidota; Flavobacteriia; Flavobacteriales; Weeksellaceae. The record is from RNAcentral. RNAcentral also lists the same sequence under 1 other name.